AUUUCUAACCUUAACAUGAAUACUAAGAUAUUAAAAGUUAUACUCUCUAAAACUAAAGGAUUUGGCGGCAAUCUAGUCAAGUUAGAGGAACCUGUAAAAUAAACGAUAAUCCACGUAAAAUCUUACCUAUUUUUAAAAUUUGUAUACCGUCAUUAUUAGAUUACUUCAAGAGAAACAGUUAUCUAAAUAGGUUUAAACUAAAAUAUUAGAUCAAGGUGCAGUCUAUAAAUAGGUUUCUAUGGGUUACAAUAAAAUUUAUUUACUACGAAUUCUAAAUUGAAAUACUUUCUUGAAGGAGGAUUUAAUAGUAAAAUUGGUUUAAUAAGCCAAAUUGAUAAUAGAUCUAGAUUGAGUACAUAUCGCCCGUCACUUUCAUUUUCAGAUGAAAUAAGUCGUAACAUAG
RNAcentral lists this ribosomal RNA (403 nucleotides) under Calliaxina bulimba. RNAcentral describes it as "partial small subunit ribosomal RNA". The record is from RNAcentral. Lineage: Eukaryota; Metazoa; Arthropoda; Malacostraca; Decapoda; Callianassidae.